GGAAUAGCCCAAACCAAUAAAGUUUUCUUUAUUGGGGUUGCGGACAUAUCUUAAACGAAGAGGUAUCGUAAUUGAAGAGGUUUGGAAAGACCCACCACAGAAGGUAAUAGUCCUGUAUGUCAAACGAAAAAACUUCAGAUAUGAUCCAGAGUACCACGGGACACGUGAAACCCUGUGGGAAGCAGGAGGGACCACCCUCCAAGGCUAAAUACUACCUAGUGACCG
RNAcentral lists this ribosomal RNA (225 nucleotides) under Clostridioides sp. ZZV14-6154. Its description in RNAcentral is "partial 23S ribosomal RNA". It matches the Rfam family "Bacterial large subunit ribosomal RNA", at positions 261 to 486 of the family's 2925-position model. The record is from RNAcentral. Lineage: Bacteria; Bacillati; Bacillota; Clostridia; Peptostreptococcales; Peptostreptococcaceae.